RNAcentral lists this ribosomal RNA (253 nucleotides) under uncultured bacterium. RNAcentral describes it as "partial 16S ribosomal RNA". It matches the Rfam family "Bacterial small subunit ribosomal RNA", at positions 524 to 776 of the family's 1533-position model. The record is from RNAcentral.
UACAGAGGGUGCGAGCGUUAAUCGGAAUUACUGGGCGUAAAGGGUGCGUAGGUGGUUAAUUAAGUCAGAUGUGAAAUCCCAAGGCUUAACCUUGGAAUGGCAUUUGAUACUGGUUGGCUAGAGUACAGAAGAGGGAAGUGGAAUUUCCGGUGUAGCGGUGAAAUGCGUAGAUAUCGGAAGGAACAUCAGUGGCGAAGGCGACUUCCUGGUCUGUUACUGACACUGAGGCACGAAAGCGUGGGGAGCGAACAGG